This 823-nucleotide ribosomal RNA is filed under the name Tarzetta sepultarioides. RNAcentral describes it as "partial large subunit ribosomal RNA". The record is from RNAcentral. Lineage: Eukaryota; Fungi; Ascomycota; Pezizomycetes; Pezizales; Tarzettaceae.
AGCAUAUCAAUAAGCGGAGGAAAAGAAACCAACAGGGAUUGCCUCAGUAACUGCGAGUGAAGCGGCAAAAGCUCAAAUUUGAAAUCUGUGUCCYUCCGGGCACAGAGUUGUAAUUUUGAGAUACGUUUUCGACCGACAGGCCUGCCUUAAGUCCCUUGGAACAGGGCGUCGCAGAGGGUGAGAAUCCCGUGAACGGUAGGCCUCGAGGCUCAUGAUACGUAUUCAACGAGUCGAGUUGUUUGGGAAUGCAGCUCAAAAUGGGUGGUAAAUUUCAUCUAAAGCUAAAUAUUGGGGAGAGACCGAUAGCGCACAAGUAGAGUGAUCGAAAGAUGAAAAGCACUUUGAAAAGAGAGUUAAAAAGUACGUGAAAUUGUUGAAAGGGAAGCGCUUGAGACCAGACUCAAUCUUUGUUGAUCAACUUCAGUUCUCUGUUGUGCACUCUUCAAUCUUUGGGACAGCAUCGGUUCUUGCGGAGGGACAAAGCCUCGGGAAAUGUGGCACUCUUCGGGGUGUGUUAUAGUCCCUUGGGGAAUGCCUCCAGCAGGGUCCGAGGACCGCGCUCCGGCUAGGAUGCUGUCAAAAUGGUCUUCAGCGACCCGUCUUGAAACACGGACCAAGGAGUCUAACAUCUGUGCGAGUGUUCGGGUGGAAAACCCUUGCGCGUAAUGAAAGUGAACGGAGGUGGGAAUCGUGAGAUGCACCAUCGACCGAUCCUGAAGUAUUCCGAAGGAUUUGAGUAUGAGCAUAGCUGUUGGGACCCGAAAGAUGGUGAACUAUGCCUGAAUAGGGUGAAGCCAGGGGAAACUCUGGUGGAGGCUCGCAG